CAGUAGCCGCGGUAAAACGUAGAUGGCAAGCGUUGUCCGGAAUUAUUGGGCGUAAAGCGCGCGCAGGCGGAUCAGUUAGUCUGUCUUAAAAGUUCGGGGCUUAACCCCGUGAUGGGAUGGAAACUGCUGAUCUAGAGUAUCGGAGAGGAAAGUGGAAUUCCUAGUGUAGCGGUGAAAUGCGUAGAUAUUAGGAAGAACACCAGUGGCGAAGGCGACUUUCUGGACGAAAACUGACGCUGAGGCGCGAAAGCCAGGGUAGCGAACGGGAUUAGAUACCCCUGUAGUCCCUGUCUCUUAUACC
RNAcentral lists this ribosomal RNA (301 nucleotides) under uncultured bacterium. Its description in RNAcentral is "partial 16S ribosomal RNA". It matches the Rfam family "Bacterial small subunit ribosomal RNA", at positions 509 to 808 of the family's 1533-position model. The record is from RNAcentral.